This is a long non-coding RNA of Astatotilapia calliptera (eastern happy), 2905 nucleotides long. The record is from Ensembl. Lineage: Eukaryota; Metazoa; Chordata; Actinopteri; Cichliformes; Cichlidae.
GAACGGUAUAAUAUGGCCCAGCCCUAUUUGCACCCUACAAAAUAUUAUUGUGAAAAAUGUAAUUUGUUUUGAUUUGACAGAUGUUCCCCUCUGCUAGUCGUAGAACUGGACCUGUCUUGUGUGUGCUGUUGGCACUUUUUGGAUUAUUUUUAAUGGAAAAAUGUGUCUUUGUUUACAGUCAAAUGUAAUGGCAGCAAGUAUCAAGUAUCUAAGCUUUUAGGUUCAAGGUUGGUUGAGCUAAGAGCAGUGCAGUGUCUGCAGUGAGGUUCAGGCUGAGGACAGGGGCGCUCUGGAUUUGGACAGAUGGUUCAUAGAUGAGAGGAAAAGCCCGACUACCCAACCUUUCAAAGGUGGGUCCUCACAAGGUUGACCCUCUAUUUGGUUCCCACAAAGAUAGCUGUGCAAGCACACACGCGCACACACACACACACACACACACAGCUGGAGCGUCAGGGACUGAGUGAAGCUCGUAUUCAGUGUUUCCACCUUCACUGAGGUUAUUCUGCAACUCGUUAAAUACCUGAAACAUCUUUCUUUACUACUUAAUUUUUUUUACAAUGUGAAGUUUAAAAAGGAACAAAAAAUCUGAUUCAAGAUAGAGGUUCUAGUUUUCUCUACCUGAUCCAAGCUGGAACCAUCCUUCAUCAGCUCCUCUGAAUUCAGCCUCAGAUCGGUCCCUGACGGCGGGAUUUCCCAGCCUUUGCGGCGACGUAAACGCAGCACCAAGCCAUCGUGUUCGACUGUUCUCUCUUUACAGCAUGACUCUAUUUUUCUAUCAGAGAUAAUGUGUUUAUAUUGCGUAUAAGAUUUAAAGAGUGAUGAAGCCUUAAAGAUUUCAGCUGCAGCAGAAGAAAGAUGCAUCCUCAUUUAAAAAAAGAAAGAAAGAAAAAAGAUACUACCUGUUGUGUAUCUUUCUUUCAGAGCAUGAUGAUGAAAAAUAAGCCAUUUAUAACUUUGUGUAUUGAGUUUUGGACGCAGGGUUUGAGUCUGACAUGUUUAACUUCAAGCUAACCUUUCUCUCACCAGCAGAACAUGACGAAUGUCUUUAUAUCGAUUAGAAACUGCUUUGCAUUCUGGGUAAUGUCCAGAUUUCUGUUUUUGAAACUCAUCACCAUCUGAGCGAACUUGACGAGGGGUCUGCUUUGCAAACGCUGCCUGUAUGCAGAUGAAAGAUGCUUGCAAAGUGACAUUUGAGGAAAUACUUCACCUGCAGGCCUUUAAGUCUUAAAACAAUAUUUUCAGACGUCUUUAAUUCACAGAAGUCUUAAACUGUCUCUCUCGAAUGUGAAUCACUGAAAGGAAAGCACGUUAUGGAAGAGGCAAAGCAAACCCCUGCCUCCAGUUACAUAAGGCAUCUUUUCACUGUAGGGGCAAAGUGUUGUAAAGGUAUCUGCCUUAACAAAGUUCUUGGGCGCUUUCUCCAGGUUUAAAGAAUCAGAAUCGAAGCCACUCAGCGGUUCCUACCCCGAAAAGGGUUUCUGUAGAGUUGGUUCCUGAGAUCUGAACAUGCGAAGAUUGAAAGCCAAAACAGCCGGCUGGUUCCUGCAGUCAGAGGCGGUCUGUGGACAUGUACUCAGGAUUUGGUGAUGAGUUUCACUUCAUAAACAUCAUCAGUUAGAUUUUCUGCUCUGGUUUCUUGACAUUUAUAAAGGAAGCCGUUCCUUAAAUCCAGUGAGGAACAUCUGUUGUUCCUGAGCUUUCUGUCUGUUCACUUGAGGCCUGGAGUUUUCUCAGUGGUUUUCAUCUCAUAAACCAAAAGUUGUUUGGGUUUUUCACGUUGACGUCCAAAGCCUGGACAGACUUUGCUGCCGGUCAUUCUGCAUUUGAGCGUACCGUCCAGCUGCACUUCAGAAACUGUUCGUGUGCAAACCAGCUCAGUGCAACUUAAUGAAUCUUUGUCUUACUGUAACACUGUUUAGAAUUAUAGUAACUUUGAUAUGGUAAUACAUCUAAUGUAUGACUUGUUCAAUGACAAAACAUAACAUGAAAAAUGAAUAAAUAUUCACGCCUCUUUUAAGACAGUGAUUUCUUUUUAUAACUAAUAUUUAUAAUCUGCUUCCUGUUAUCAUAUGUAUGUAUCUGCUUUACUUUUUAGUAAUUUAAAUAUGAAAUAGGUCAUUCAUGCUGGGAAGUAUGAGCAGCUUCUUGUUAUAAUGACAAAGAUAGAAUAAAAGUUUAAAAAAAGGCGUAAAAAGAGAAAUUAAAUGAUGACGGUUCUGGUUUUCACCGGGAAGAGUUUUUUGUUAUAACAACAACUGCCUCCUUAUGUCAAAGGUUUGUGGAAAAUAACUAGAAUUUAAGCUUAAAAUCUUUCUUGCCAGAAAAGUUUAACAUUAUGCAAAAAUUAAAAUUUUUAAAUGCUGUCAUUCAGUUACUUUUUUUUAAUUUUGCAAUUUUGAAUUAACAUUUGCACCAGAAUGACAGACAGAAAGCUCCGGAAGCCGAUGGCUGACGCGCCUCCUAAUUGUAAAGAGGUUUUCUGUCCACAGUUUGUGUGGAAAUCUUCACUGUAUAUAGACACAAAAUAUAAUCUGAACAUAUGAAUUUGCUAUAUAUUCUGUACCAUGUGACAGGCCUGACCAAUGGGCUGGGGGUUGUUAAUGACGUGUUGUUCCUGUGGCCUGUCGUUGCUGUCAGAUCCUGCGUGGCCCCUCCCCUCCUCGGCUGUGAUUGGCCAUGGAGUUUAUUGAUGUAAAGUGGUGGGGCCUGCUUUUAUUUUUCUGAGAUAGAGUGCUACAUGUUUAACAUGUUAUUUACUGGAACCAUUUAAAAGAAAAGCUAUUUUUUAUGGACGUGACUUUAGUUUUUGUUGGUGUACCAUGUUAUGCUGAUGAUUCCUCUUGUUUUCUACAAACACACAUGCACACACACUGGGAGGACGGUAAUAAAACUAUUUUGUCCUGUA